CCUACGGGUGGCAGCAGUGGGGAAUAUUGCACAAUGGGGGAAACCCUGAUGCAGCGACGCCGCGUGAGUGAAGAAGUAUUUCGGUAUGUAAAGCUCUAUCAGCAGGGAAGAAAAUGACAGUACCUGACUAAGAAGCCCCGGCUAACUACGUGCCAGCCGCCGCGGUAAUACGUAGGGGGCAAGCGUUAUCCGGAUUUACGGGGUGUAAAGGGAGCGUAGACGGCAGUGCAAGCCAGAUGUGAAAGCCCGGGGCUCACCCCCGGGACUGCUUUUGGAACUGUGCUGCUAGAGUGUCGGAGAGGCAGGCGGAAUUCCUAGUGUAGCGGUGAAAUGCGUAGAUAUCAGGAGGAACACCAGUGGCGAAGGCGGCCUGCUGGACGAUGACUGACGUUGAGGCUCGAAAGCGUGGGGAGCAAACAGGAUUAGAUACCCCUGUAGUC
RNAcentral lists this ribosomal RNA (440 nucleotides) under uncultured bacterium. RNAcentral's name for it is "partial 16S ribosomal RNA". It matches the Rfam family "Bacterial small subunit ribosomal RNA", at positions 338 to 795 of the family's 1533-position model. The record is from RNAcentral.